RNAcentral lists this unclassified non-coding RNA (515 nucleotides) under Hevea brasiliensis (rubber tree). The record is from RNAcentral. Lineage: Eukaryota; Viridiplantae; Streptophyta; Magnoliopsida; Malpighiales; Euphorbiaceae.
ACACAAGCUAAGCGUCUCAAAGCCAAUUCGGUGAAGGAUGGUCAAUCGCUUGUCCUAACCAUGGAUGAUCAUGAGGAGAUAACGGAUGAAUAUAAAGGCGAGAAGGUUUGGUGGAUUUCGAGCAAAAAACCAGCGAGCAGGCAGACAAUAUCUUUGUAUAAGGAGGAUGAGAAGAGAUAUUUCAAGCUAAAAUUUCACAAAAAGAAUCGCGACCUUGUCACAAAUUCAUACUUGAAGUAUGUGUUGGAUGAAGGAAAGGCGAUAUCUGUGAAAGAACGACAGAGAAAGCUGUACACGAACAAUAAGGGAGAUGGAGGUGGUUAUAGAUACAGGGGAGGGAGGAUGUGGAGUGGAGUAGUAUUCGAGCAUCCGUCAACAUUUGAUACUCUAGCUAUGGAUCCAAACAAGAAGCAAGAGAUCAUAGAUGAUCUCGAAACAUUUAGCAAGUCAAAAGACUAUUACGCAAAGAUUGGUAAGGCGUGGAAGCGUGGUUAUCUUCUUUAUGGUCCUCCAGG